This is a long non-coding RNA of Sorghum bicolor (sorghum), 1707 nucleotides long. RefSeq lists it as uncharacterized. The transcript has 4 exons. The record is from RefSeq and is a predicted model, not a curated record. Lineage: Eukaryota; Viridiplantae; Streptophyta; Magnoliopsida; Poales; Poaceae.
CGCACGCGACGCCUCCCCGCAAAGGCCAGAGAGAGAGUGAGGGCGGCGGCGGCGACGGCGAUGAAUGCGCGCGGCGAACUGAUGCCUUCCGCUGCUCCGGUGCAGCGGCGUCAGCACGUCGCGCUCGUGCCUCGCCGUGCCCACGUUGCCGCGCGGAACUGCCGCAUUGGAGAGCAGAGCGCAUGGAGCCAAGCUGCGACACGGCGCGGGCAGGCGCUCGGCGUCGCGAGAUCCCAGUGAAGGGAGCAGCAAAGCAGGUGUUUGCCUGAUGCUCGUGUGCCGUGGCCUGAUGCCAUGAGCUACCCGCAAACAGGGAAGUUGCCACGGUGGUCGGUGGCAACGCCUAUGCUUCAGCCCCUAAGGUGCCUCCGACACCCUCUCCAUUGCAGCUUGCAUGCUCUCAAGCUCGGCUUUCAGGAACAUGACCUCACCCCUUAGGCCUCUCUGCAAACUGUAUUCAUCAUUGGGGAGCCUUUGUACCUGAUUUCGUAGUUCAGAGAUGAAAAUCAGCCCACAGUGCAAAUUGAAGAUCAAAGUCCAAAAGCCAAACAACGGUCAUCAAAACAUCAAGCAGAGCUCCUCAGAAGACAUAAAUGACGAAAAUGGGCAGAGAAAAACUCAAGGUUCGACACAAAUUUUCACAGGUGAAACCCAUCGAUAAACAUUCUUUUGAUAUGAUGUCAACCCAUAACAGUGAAAGGAAAGAACUCCAUACCUUCAUGGAAUAGUUGUUAUGUACAUGGAUUAGUUGUUAUGAUCUUGAUUGCUGUCCAGGGCUCCCUGCCUGGCUCUAGCUCCAGAAAAUGUAUAGCGGCCGGCCAGCCGGGUAGGUACGGUGUUGCUGGCCUUGGUUGAUUAGGUCAUUACAAUGGAGAAGCAAUAGUAUGUGUUUGUGUCCUUUUUAUAUAAUAUACGUGGAUGCGUUUGAUUUCUUGAUGCUGAAGGAUAGGUGGGGUUGGUAUUGACCUUCAAAGGAUUGGUAGACACGAAAGCAGAAUAUUGUUUAAGAUUGCUGUGCCGGCCUGCAGAAUAUAGUAUGCGAGAUAUAUUGACGCAUGCGGUAGACAUGAUUGAAUUUGAUAUAGAGCAAAAUGCAUCAUAGGUCCAUUAACUUUGAAUUUAGAGAGGUGUCAUAUAGGUUUAUCAACAUCCAACUCUCAAAGUGCAUUUUUGUAUCCAUAAACUUAUUAUGUUGUGCAUUUCAUUUACUAUAUUGGUGAAAAGUUCUAGGAGCUUUAGGAAAUUUCACUUAGGUUGUUUCAGACAUGGAAAUGCUUCGUAUUAACAUUUAUACAUUCAGCCGUUGCAAGGUUGACAGAACUUUCAAAAUUCCUGUCAGUCAGGCAUCUGCAGAAAAAGAUCACUAGUAGUAUUUAAUUAGGAACUGCUCGUGCUAGGUUCAGUGAAAAAGAUCAGUAGUUGAAUGGUGAUAUCUCAGUUUUGAAAUUGCAGGAGAGCCUAAUGAAAUUCUAGGAGAGGCAACUAGCUGGCACUUUUCUGAAUUAUGGUGAUCAAAGCUUCUGUUUUAGAACUUUGCAGAUUUGAAGAAAGAACAGCCUUCACUUUUUUUUAUUUACUUCAUUGUAUUGUUAUUCUAAACUUUUAUGAAGAUUAUUUUCAUGUCGUUGAGGGUUCUCUAUCCAUAUUCAAAAGCCCUGUGAGGUUUUGAGUUAACUCUCUGAAAGAAGCUAGUUCUGGUUCAUCUCA